Paramuricea clavata is the source of this 286-nucleotide non-coding RNA. NCBI's taxonomy places the organism in Eukaryota, Metazoa, Cnidaria, Anthozoa, Malacalcyonacea, Plexauridae. The record is from the annotation of a GenBank genome assembly.
AUACAGGUGGUAAAAUUUCAUUAUGAUAACAAAACAUGAAUCUGGCAAUGUACAGUGAAUUAACUUGGAAAAUGUUUAAAAUGCCUAAUUUCAUAAAUAGAGGUGCUGUAUGCGCACGGAAAUCAGAAUUUGUAAUAGCACGCACAGCACGUUUUUGUAGGUAAUAUAUUCUAUUUAAAUUUGUAACAUAGGUGGACGACCAUACCAAGGUUGCAAUAUGUAAUGAAGGGAUAAACCAGUGUGUAAUACAAUGAAAAUUUAGUUUUACAAGAUAAAUAAAAACGAG